RNAcentral lists this long non-coding RNA (1144 nucleotides) under Panax ginseng (ginseng). Its description in RNAcentral is "long non-coding RNA (PGIN_LNC005270)". Lineage: Eukaryota; Viridiplantae; Streptophyta; Magnoliopsida; Apiales; Araliaceae. The record is from RNAcentral.
AAUCUCUUAUUCUCUUUCCUGCAAUAUCACUGCCAGAGGAUCAAGUGUAGGUAUAUUUGUUUCAAAAUUUUCUUGCAUCUCAAUACUAUGCUUAUUAACAUGGUCUAAUGUUCUCUAUAUGUACUAAACCAUAGAUGAUGGUCUAAUGUCCUGUACAGAAGGUAAGAUGAUGAGAAUAUAUUGUACCAAAUUAUCAGUUAUGAAGUGAUUAUAAAGCUUGUAUAAAUGUUUUAUAUAGGCUUAUUAUUUAUUUGUUUACUGAUUAAUUUUUUAGAAACUUUUUGUAUGGGUUCUCUAUUUUAGUUUCAUUUGUCUUACCAAACAGUACAUCUGCCUUCUUUUGUUGUCUGUAUCAUGUCUCAUGUACUUGGGGUUGAGAGGAACGCAAGCCAACGUGAGAUUCACAAAGCUUUCCACAAGUAUGUUAUUCAUAAGAUUUUCUAUUUUAGCUUUGUAAAUUAUCCUGAGAUUGUCAUAACAACAUAGAAUUCCGAGGUUUCUUCCAGAUAGCUUUUCAUUUGUUAUGGUGCAUUAAUACUCAUCUUUGUUUCUAUUAUGUCCAUCUUUUUUGUGUGUAAAGCAUUUCUAGCUAGUAGCUAGCACCAUGCUGUCAAUAUAUGUUGUCAUUCAUGUUCAUCUGCAUGUGUUUCCUGAUUAAUACCACUGUUUUUUGCAUCUACAACAUAUUAAGAUCAAGUACUUGUUUAUGUAGAUUUAUCGAGCACGCCUGUGACAUUUCCGGGCUCUUUUAUUAAAAGAUAUAGUUAGACUACAAAUAUCUCAUCUUUGUUUUGAAUGCACCUGUGUGGCUUUGUUCUUUUCCAGUAUCAAUAUGGGAGUGGCAGCUGAUGUUCUUACUUUGCUUGAAACUGAGAGGGAGGCAAGAAGGUUGCGCUUAAGACUCGCAUAUAGGAUGGAUGAUGUUCUUAUUUAAAAUGUGUACAGGAUGAUGUUUUAGUACAUAAUGAUGUUUUAAAACCUUUUUCUUUUCAGAGCAUGAAUUCAGCUGCUAUAGUUAUGAUUUGGGUUUUUCUUUAGCAUUAUAGUAGAAUCCAAGUGUGUAUAUAUUUUCAUAUUGAUUGUAUGCAGAUGUUUGAAUCCAAGUGUUUGAAACCAAGUGUGUAUAUAUUUUCAUAUUGUUGCU